RNAcentral lists this small nuclear RNA (192 nucleotides) under Nilaparvata lugens (brown planthopper). RNAcentral's name for it is "U2 spliceosomal RNA". It matches the Rfam family "U2 spliceosomal RNA". Rfam says of the family: U2 is a small nuclear RNA (snRNA) component of the spliceosome (involved in pre-mRNA splicing). Complementary binding between U2 snRNA (in an area lying towards the 5' end but 3' to hairpin I) and the branchpoint sequence (BPS) of the intron results the bulging out of an unpaired adenosine, on the BPS, which initiates a nucleophilic attack at the intronic 5' splice site, thus starting the first of two transesterification reactions that mediate splicing. The record is from RNAcentral. Lineage: Eukaryota; Metazoa; Arthropoda; Insecta; Hemiptera; Delphacidae.
AUCGCUUCUCGGCCUGUUGGCUAAGAUCAAAGUGUAGUAUCUGUUCUUAUCAGCUUAUUAUCUGAUACGCCGCACAUUGUGUGGCCAGUAUAUUGAACUGAUUUUUGCAAAUAGAUGGAGUGUUAGGGGCUUGCUCCACCUCCAUCACGGGUCGACCUGGCAUUGCAGUAGAUAAAUGUAAACUCAGGUAAC